UGUUUUAUUUUGGAUUACAGAGGAGUUGGUGAGAGUUUUUCUCUUCGUUUGUGAGUGCUCUUCUCUCCUUUUGUGGGAGCUCUCUCUCUCUCUCUCUCUCUCUCUCUCUCUGUGCGAGAGCUCUUUCCUUUUCCUCUUUUUCAGAUCCGAUUUUGCUUUCAAUCUCAACCUUGAAGCUCCUUUCUUUCAACCCCAUACUUUCCAUAUUCCCAUCAGUUUUCUACAUCUACUUCCUUUUCUCCCGUUUUCUUCCCCAUCACCCUUCCUUCUCUUAAUCAAACAUUAGAUCUUGAAGUUUUGGAUCCGAUUUGUUGGGGAUUAGGAGUUGUUAGGACUAGGAGAUGAACUCGUUGAGAUACAAUCUCCAUUAUAUUUUUUUUUUCUGAAUUAUUAACUUUCUAUUUCUAUUUGUGCUGAAGGUUCACAGCUCGGAGGCUGGUGUCAUGCGAUGAAGUUUGGAAGCUGGUGCAUGUAGGUGUGUACGUAACAUACUAGGGCGUUUGAGACUAGAAAAUUGGUUUGAGUUUGCCAAGUAACCAAAGGUCCAAAGUCCCAGAAGACGUUGAUUCACAAAAACUGGGAGAAGCCUAGAAAGUGUUGAAAUAAAACACUCUCUGUGUUGAUUAUGAAUAAUGUGGCAGUACUCCUCAUUUUCUUGGAUGGAAGCAAUUAAAACUAACCAAGGCUUCAAAUUAUCCAAGAUUUGUAAUCUCUAAAAACAUAAAUUAUAAAUUUGAACUCAGAAUUUGGGUGCUCAGGAUUAGCGCCCAUUUUAAAAAAAAAGUAAUUUGGAAUAUGGACACCGAUAACAAUGAGCAUCUUUUCUGACAUAGGCACAUAAAGAUUAAAUUAAUUAGGAGCUGACUCUAUUAAAUAAUUUAAAAUUUCUACCACCGACUUGUAAACAUUUCGUGGCUGUCUGGUGGCUAUUAGGUCUUGACA
Long non-coding RNA from Malus domestica (apple), 942 nucleotides. RefSeq lists it as uncharacterized. The record is from RefSeq and is a predicted model, not a curated record. NCBI's taxonomy places the organism in Eukaryota, Viridiplantae, Streptophyta, Magnoliopsida, Rosales, Rosaceae.